GUUAAGCGACUAAGCGUACACGGUGGAUGCCCUGGCAGUCAGAGGCGAUGAAGGACGUGCUAAUCUGCGAUAAGCGUCGGUAAGGUGAUAUGAACCGUUAUAACCGGCGAUUUCCGAAUGGGGAAACCCAGUGUGAUUCGUCACACUAUCAUUAACUGAAUCCAUAGGUUAAUGAGGCGAACCGGGGGAACUGAAACAUCUAAGUACCCCGAGGAAAAGAAAUCAACCGAGAUUCCCCCAGUAGCGGCGAGCGAACGGGGAGCAGCCCAGAGCCUGAAUCAGUGUGUGUGUUAGUGGAAG
RNAcentral lists this ribosomal RNA (300 nucleotides) under Escherichia coli. Its description in RNAcentral is "partial 23S ribosomal RNA". It matches the Rfam family "Bacterial large subunit ribosomal RNA", at positions 1 to 306 of the family's 2925-position model. Lineage: Bacteria; Pseudomonadati; Pseudomonadota; Gammaproteobacteria; Enterobacterales; Enterobacteriaceae. The record is from RNAcentral.